CAGCAGCCACGGGAACACGAAGGGGGCUAGCGUUGCUCGGAAUUACUGGGCGUAAAGGGAGCGUAGGCGGAUCGUUUAGUCAGGGGUGAAAUCCCGGGGCUCAACCUCGGAACUGCCUUUGAUACUGGCGAUCUUGAGUAUGGGAGAGGUGUGUGGAACUCCGAGUGUAGAGGUGAAAUUCGUAGAUAUUCGGAAGAACACCAGUGGCGAAGGCGACACACUGGCCCAUUACUGACGCUGAGGCUCGAAAGCGUGUGGAGCAAACAGGAUUAGAUACCCCCGUAGUCCCUGUCUCUUAUAC
Molecule: ribosomal RNA, 301 nt
Filed under: uncultured bacterium
Lineage: Bacteria
Description: partial 16S ribosomal RNA
Rfam family: Bacterial small subunit ribosomal RNA
Source: RNAcentral